AUUGAACGCUGGCGGAAUGCUUUACACAUGCAAGUCGAACGGCAGCACGGACUUCGGUCUGGUGGCGAGUGGCGAACGGGUGAGUAAUGUAUCGGAACGUGCCCAGUCGUGGGGGAUAACGUAGUGAAAAUUACGCUAAUACCGCAUACGAUCUAUGGAUGAAAGCGGGGGAUCGCAAGACCUCGCGCGAUUGGAGCGGCCGAUAUCAGAUUAGGUAGUUGGUGGGGUAAAGGCCCACCAAGCCAACGAUCUGUAGCUGGUCUGAGAGGACGGCGAGCCACACGGGAACUGAGACACGGUCCAGACUCCUACGGGAGGCAGCAGUGGGGAAUUUUGGACAAUGGGCGAAAGCCUGAUCCAGCCAUUCCGCGUGCAGGAUGAAGGCCCUCGGGUUGUAAACUGCUUUUGUACAGAACGAAGAGGUUUCUACUAAUACUAGGAGCUCAUGACGGUACUGUAAGAAUAAGCACCGGCUAACUACGUGCCAGCCGCCGCCGUAA
RNAcentral lists this ribosomal RNA (500 nucleotides) under uncultured bacterium. RNAcentral describes it as "partial 16S ribosomal RNA". It matches the Rfam family "Bacterial small subunit ribosomal RNA", at positions 30 to 523 of the family's 1533-position model. The record is from RNAcentral.